Molecule: ribosomal RNA, 253 nt
Filed under: uncultured bacterium
Lineage: Bacteria
Description: partial 16S ribosomal RNA
Rfam family: Bacterial small subunit ribosomal RNA
Source: RNAcentral
UACAUGGGGUGCAAACGUUGCUCGGAAUUAUUGGGCGUAAAGCGCACGUAGGCGGUUCGUUAAGUCGGAUGUGAAAGCCCUCGGCUCAACUGAGGAAGUGCACCCGGAACUGGCGAGCUUGAGUACGAAAGAGGAUCGCGGAAUUCCCGGUGUAGAGGUGAAAUUCGUAGAUAUCGGGAGGAACACCGGUGGCGAAGGCGGGUCUCUGGGCCGAUACUGACGCUGAGGAGCGAAAGCAUGGGUAGCGAACAGG